AUAAGCUCAGGCUUUUCCUACCUUUGUGGGGGAAUAUGCCCUGGAAACACUGAAGGCCAGGCCAGAUGGGGUUGUGAGCAACCUGGUCUAGUGGCAGGUAUCCCUGCCUAUAGCAGGGUGGUUGAAACUAGAUGAUCUUAAAGGUCUCUUCCAACCCAAACCGGUCUAUGAUUCUAUGACACAGAAAGCAGGCAUCAUUCAUCAUACUGGACAGCCUUAAAUAUCUGUAAAAUUUUCAGAUAAGAUAAUACUCAUGAAAAUCAUGGGUGGCCCAUUUGGAUGCAGCCUGAAUAUCACAUGUGAUCUGCCUUUCUUGGCUUUGCUGUGUUUGUCUACAAAGGCUCCCAAGACUUCCCAGCUCUCACUGACCUGGAUCUUGGCUCCAAAUGAAGGCAAAGCUCAUUCUCUCUGUUGUACAGGGAAAGAACCUGGAACAUCAGAAGAUACAGCCCAUAUUGGUAUUCUACAAGACAAAAACAGCACAUCUGCACCUUACUUCUUACAGCUAUGGCAUAUGAAUGUGGGUAAGCAAGGGAUGCUGCAGCCACAGAGCAGUGGUGCUCGCUCAAAGCUCCAUCGAUGCUCAUUCUGGAUAAGUGUACGGCAAUCUACAGAAAAGAACCUGCCAAUGAUCCUUCCUUUGGCAGCGUAUCCAACAAUCAACUGACCUCAUCACAUCCCUUCUCUGAUCAUUUUUAAUUUUUUUCUCAUACUGAUAUUCUUCCAGAAACAACCAUUUAUCUGACUGCACGGCACCUGGCACAGGCAAGUCUUUUCAGGUCCUACUGCAACACAGCAAAUGACAUACAGAGGGAAAAAUAUCUCUGUUCAAAAGGAGAUGCAUUCAGGAGAGAUGGGGAGAUGGAAGAGACAGAGGCAAGGCAAGGUGUGUAGGCUGCCCAGCAGCAGCAUGGUAGCUCACCCAUGGGAGACAAUGCAUGAGGCGUAGUGGCAGAGGAUGAAUGAUUGUGCAUAUAUUUGGAGGCUAUCAGCAUGCACAUAUAAUGAAAGCCAAUCAAAUGCAUAUGACAGAUUGUAAAGCUUUUGUGUGUUGUUUAAAAACCCACGUUUUCAGAUUAUCUGCCCUUACAGAGCAUCUCAAUAACAUAGUUUUACUCUGGCUGAGAAAUUACAGGCAUCCUGCCCACACACAAAGCCUGACAUUUCCAAUCACAUCAUUUCCCCUUUCAUUUUUAACAGGAAAAAAAAAAACAAAAACACAACGCAACUCUCAACAUGACAUAUCAUUUACCCGUGGAGCCAGUUGUGGUUUCAUCUACAGCUGCCAGAGCAUGACUACAACAGCUACAGAUGAGCAGGCUGAGAGGCUGUUCUACAUAAGCUUCCAAAGUUGAUCGUAAGUUCAGCAAACCAGCUACUGAAGUGGAUUAGUGAUAUUAUGAUUUGUGCUGUGUCUUCAUGCAAACAAAGAACCAGGAAAGAAAAAGUGACAUUUAUUGUUACAAUAGAGAUAUAUAGCAGAAUUGGGGUAUCAAAUGUGACAUUACAAGGACUUGGAAGGGCAAGGUUCACUGAGACUUAAUUCAGAGUAGUGGGUGUUUCUCAGAUUUGUUGCAGGCCCAAAGAUUUUGCCCUGUUACAGUGCCAUAGUUACUCUUUCCAAUUAUGUAGUGCUGCCAUCAGAUUUUUGUUGAACCCUGAGAGGU
Phasianus colchicus (ring-necked pheasant) is the source of this 1667-nucleotide long non-coding RNA. Lineage: Eukaryota; Metazoa; Chordata; Aves; Galliformes; Phasianidae. The record is from Ensembl.